GAUGAACGCUGGCGGCGUGCCUAAUACAUGCAAGUCGAGCGAACAGACGAGGAGCUUGCUCCUCUGACGUUAGCGGCGGACGGGUGAGUAACACGUGGAUAACCUACCUAUAAGACUGGGAUAACUUCGGGAAACCGGAGCUAAUACCGGAUAAUAUAUUGAACCGUAUGGUUCAAUAGUGAAAGACGGUUUUGCUGUCACUUAUAGAUAGAUCCGCGCCGCAUUAGCUAGUUGGUAAGGUAACGGCUUACCAAGGCAACGAUGCGUAGCCGACCUGAGAGGGUGAUCGGCCACACUGGAACUGAGACACGGUCCAGACUCCUACGGGAGGCAGCAGUAGGGAAUCUUCCGGAAUGGGCGAAAGCCUGACGGAGCAACGCCGCGUGAGUGAUGAAGGUCUUCGGAUCGUAAAACUCUGUUAUUAGGGAAGAACAAAUGUGUAAGUAACUAUGCACGUCUUGACGGUACCUAAUCAGAAAGCCACGGCUAACUACGUG
RNAcentral lists this ribosomal RNA (497 nucleotides) under uncultured bacterium. Its description in RNAcentral is "partial 16S ribosomal RNA". It matches the Rfam family "Bacterial small subunit ribosomal RNA", at positions 28 to 507 of the family's 1533-position model. The record is from RNAcentral.